Molecule: ribosomal RNA, 253 nt
Filed under: uncultured bacterium
Lineage: Bacteria
Description: partial 16S ribosomal RNA
Rfam family: Bacterial small subunit ribosomal RNA
Source: RNAcentral
UACGUAGGGUGCGAGCGUUAAUCGGAAUUACUGGGCGUAAAGCGUGCGCAGGCGGUUUUGUAAGCCAGAUGUGAAAUCCCCGGGCUUAACCUGGGAAUGGCAUUUGGGACUGCAAGGCUUGAGUGCGGCAGAGGAGACUGGAAUUCCUGGUGUAGCAGUGAAAUGCGUAGAUAUCAGGAGGAACACCGAUGGCGAAGGCGGGUCUCUGGGCCGAUACUGACGCUGGAGGAGCGAAAGCGUGGGAGCGAACAGG